AUUGAACGCUGGCGGCAUGCUUUACACAUGCAAGUCGAACGGCAGCACACUGAUUUUUUCUUCUUGGGUGGCGAGUGGCGAACGGGUGAGUCAUAUAUCGCCACGUACCGACUUAUGGGGGAUAUCUAAUCGCUAGAUCUGCUACUACCUCAUAUCCUCUGCGGCGGAAAGCAGGGGACCUUCGGUCCUUGCGUUUUUCUGGCGUCGGGUCUCUGAUUAGCUAGUUGGUGGGGUAAAGGCCUACCAAGGCGACGAUCAGUAGCGGGUCUGAGAGGAUGAUCGGCCACACUGGGACUGAGACACGGCCCAGACUCCUACGGGAGGCAGCAGUGGGGAAUUUUGGACAAUGGGCGCAAGCCUGAUCCAGCCAUGCCGCGUGUCUGAAGAAGGCCUUCGGGUUGUAAAGGACUUUUGUCAGGGAAGAAAAGGCUGUUGCUAAUAUCAAGAGCUGAUGACGGUACCUGAAGAAUAAGCACCGGCUAACUACGUG
RNAcentral lists this ribosomal RNA (490 nucleotides) under uncultured bacterium. RNAcentral's name for it is "partial 16S ribosomal RNA". It matches the Rfam family "Bacterial small subunit ribosomal RNA", at positions 30 to 507 of the family's 1533-position model. The record is from RNAcentral.